UACGUAGGGAGCAAGCGUUGUCCGGAAUCAUUGGGCGUAAAGCGCGCGUAGGCGGCCCGGUCAGUCCGUCGUGAAAGUCAAAGGCUCAACCUUUGAAUGUCGAUGGAUACUGCCGGGCUAGAGUCCGGAAGAGGCGAGUGGAAUUCCUGGUGUAGCGGUGGAAUGCGCAGAUAUCAGGAGGAUCACCAAUAGCGAAGGCAGCUCGCUGGGACGGUACUGACGCUAAGGCGCGAAAGCCAGGGGAGCGAACGGG
This 253-nucleotide ribosomal RNA is filed under the name uncultured bacterium. RNAcentral describes it as "partial 16S ribosomal RNA". It matches the Rfam family "Bacterial small subunit ribosomal RNA", at positions 524 to 776 of the family's 1533-position model. The record is from RNAcentral.